This 498-nucleotide ribosomal RNA is filed under the name uncultured bacterium. RNAcentral's name for it is "partial 16S ribosomal RNA". It matches the Rfam family "Bacterial small subunit ribosomal RNA", at positions 30 to 523 of the family's 1533-position model. The record is from RNAcentral.
AUUGAACGCUGGCGGCAUGCCUUACACAUGCAAGUCGAACGGUAACAGGUCUUCAGAUGCUGACGAGUGGCGAACGGGUGAGUAAUACAUCGGAACGUGCCUAGUAGUGGGGGAUAACUACUCGAAGGAGUGGCUAAUACCGCAUGAGAUCUACGGAUGAAAGCAGGGGAUCGCAAGACAUUGUGCUACUAGCUCGGCAGAUGGCAGAUUAGGUAGUUGGUGGGAUAAAAGCUUACCAAGCCGACGAUCUGUAGCUGGUCUGAGAGGACGAUCAGCCACACUGGGACUGAGACACGGCCCAGACUCCUACGGGAGGCAGCAGUGGGGAAUUUUGGACAAUGGGCGCAAGCCUGAUCCAGCAAUGCCGCGUGCAGGAUGAAGGCCUUCGGGUUGUAAACUGCUUUUGUACGGAACGAAAAGCCCCGGGUUAAUACCCUGGGGUCAUGACGGUACCGUAAGAAUAAGCACCGGCUAACUACGUGCCAGCCGCCGCCGUAA